UACGGGGGGAGCAAGCGUUGUUCGGAUUUACUGGGCGUAAAGGGCGCGUAGGCGGCCACCGCAAGUCAACUGUGAAAUCUCCGGGCUUAACCCGGAAAGGUCAGCCGAUACUGCGGGGCUAGAGUGCAGAAGGGGCAACUGGAAUUCUCGGUGUAGCGGUGAAAUGCGUAGAUAUCGAGAGGAACACCUGCGGCGAAGGCGGGUUGCUGGGCUGACACUGACGCUGAGGCGCGAAAGCUAGGGGAGCGAACGGG
Molecule: ribosomal RNA, 254 nt
Filed under: uncultured bacterium
Lineage: Bacteria
Description: partial 16S ribosomal RNA
Rfam family: Bacterial small subunit ribosomal RNA
Source: RNAcentral